AGAGUUUGAUCCUGGCUCAGGAUGAACGCUGGCGGCGUGCCUAAUACAUGCAAGUCGAGCGAACCACUUCGGUGGGAAGCGGCGAACGGGUGAGUAACACGUAGGUGAUCUGCCCAUCAGACGGGGACAACGAUUGGAAACGAUCGCUAAUACCGGAUAGGACGAAAGUUUAAAGAUGCUCCUGGCAUCACUGAUGGAUGAGCCUGCGGCGCAUUAGCUAGUUGGUGGGGUAAAGGCCUACCAAGGCGACGAUGCGUAGCCGACCUGAGAGGGUGAACGGCCACACUGGGACUGAGACACGGCCCAGACUCCUACGGGAGGCAGCAGUAGGGAAUCUUCGGCAAUGGGCGAAAGCCUGACCGAGCAACGCCGCGUGAAUGAAGAAGGCCUUCGGGUUGUAAAAUUCUGUUAUAAGGGAAGGAAGGUGAUAGGAGGAAAUGACUAUCAAUUGACGGUACCUUAUGAGAAAGCCACGGCUAACUACGUG
RNAcentral lists this ribosomal RNA (487 nucleotides) under uncultured Turicibacter sp. RNAcentral describes it as "bacterial SSU rRNA". It matches the Rfam family "Bacterial small subunit ribosomal RNA", at positions 8 to 507 of the family's 1533-position model. Lineage: Bacteria; Bacillati; Bacillota; Erysipelotrichia; Erysipelotrichales; Turicibacteraceae. The record is from RNAcentral.